AAGAAAAAGAACAACUUGACAGCAUUUCAGGAGUAUUGCUUCAGCAAAAAAAGGAAAUUAACCAGAAAGGAAGAAUGGCCUAGAAGAAGCAGUAGUGGGCCAAGAGUGAUAAAACAUAUUGGCAAGUCUAAUCCUUGAUGCGUGAUCAUUCACUCUGUAGAAGGCGGCUGCCAUAUUUUGAACAGCCCUACGGAGACAACUUACAACAGACAACUUAGUGAGAAAUGGAGGUCUCCAGAUAACAACCUGAGAAAAACUGAGGCUCAGCCAGAAAAUAAUAAAAAGGAAAGACUGCAAAGGGACUUGGUGCCAGAAGGCUUCAGAGACAGCUGUCCCUGCAGCACGUGGAUCCCUCCUUCCCCAGGCGUGACUGCCUUUCCUGGCAGGUACUCCAAGCCACCAACGGAACAAAGAAGAAACAAAGGUAUAAUGAACAAGCUUCUUCCACUAUACACUACAGACAAUAGGUGCAAUAUUUUGCAAAAAAAAGAAAAAAAUCUGUCUCAUUAGUUAACUCUUUUAGACCAUUUGCUGCUACAUACAGGAAGGCGUGGGGUUUGAGGUGAUGGCAGCAACCUAACAUCGGCAGCUGUGGGCCCUCACGUCGUCCCUCCCCCAUAGUGACAGGCCAGAGUCUGCUUAGGCUUUGCACCUAGGCCCACCUUUUAAUCCCUCCCUGAUCUCUUUGCCACUACAGAGCCCAAACUUGCCUAUGCCUGGUCAAGUCCCAGCGACACAGCAGAACUGUGACUGUGAGAGGAGAGCCCUGCCUUCCUCCUGCUGCUCCUCAACCAGGGCCGGCCCAUUACUUAGCAAUGGCUCUAUUUUUGUCAUGCUCAUUAUACUGCAGCACUGUUCAUUUCCAUCUCAUUAUUGUUGGGGGGAGGGGGUCAUCCGGAGGCUUCGUUGCCCAGGAGACGGGGGUGGGAGGUGGCCUGGUAGGGGGGAGCUGGGCACUCAGCUGUCUUCCGCAGGCAUGGCUCAUCCAUCAUCCGACAAGACUGUCAGGUCUCUCUCUGUUGGUUGUAGGGUGACCACCAGAGCCCAUAGCUUGUUCUGGCUCUUUCUCCUGCCAGAAGCAGAUCCUCCCCUUCUUAAACAGAGAGGGAGAGACGUAUCUAGAUUUAAGGAUAGAGAAAACAGAACAGCCAUACAAAUCCCCUGUGUGAAUCUGUCAGGGACGAAAAAUGUCUCGGGGUGACUGGCUGCUGUAUUAGAGGCACGUGGGGUAGAAGCACUCCUGCCCUCAAGGACACAGGUCCCUGGCUACUUCCCCCCAGCCAAUGGGCCAUAGCCAUGGCGGCUGUCUCUAGAAGUCUCCAUGUGCAGGACAUUUGAUAAUGGCCCCCAGGACUUUUGCCCGGGACUUGACUGCAGCGACAAGAAACAGGUUAGAUGGCCACAGGGAAAGGGGGAGCAAGGCACUGCUGUCGAGAGGAACUGAUGCCCUUUGCCUCUGCCCUGAACCCUGAGGGUUCUGCAAGCCUCCCUCCACACACUCAGCACUCCAGUGGCAGGAUGGAGGGCCCCAAGCCCCUCCUGUGAUGUCUCUCAGCUGGAGCUGCUCCUUCUCACCCUGUGAAAUCAUAUCUCAGACGUUACCUCUUCAGUGAACACUUCCUGGACCUCUUCCCUGUAUCCCUCUGGCAAAGUAAGGCAUGCUUUCCUCCUAAGUCCUCCAGCACUUCGUUCCCUAAUUGUAAUGGUGGGUUGCCCACUAUCUGACUCUCCCACUGCUCUUGUAUCUCCAGACUCUGCUGGGGGCCUGAGGCACAGCACAGAGCUUUGUCGACUACACUGGACCCUGCGGGAUAAUUAGAGGUGUGUGUACAGCACCUCACGACUGAUGGUUUGCUUUGUGCCAGGCACUGUGCUGAGAGCUUCACAGGCACUAUCCCCCUUAAUCCUCACCAUAGCCCAAGAGGCAAGGGCCAUUCCUCCCCCUCCUACAGAGGAGGAGACUGAAGAGGGGAACUAACUUACUCCAGGUCACAUGCAUAUGCCUCUCUCUAGAUUUGCUUUCACUACACACAAGGUAGCAAACCACAUGAUGUUCUUCACCUUGCUUUUUCCCCCUUUGACUUAUUUCUUGGAGAUUGUUCCAUUAUCAGUAGUUACAGACCAAUGCCCAUUCUUCUUAAGACAUCCAGAGUAUCCCAUAAAUGGAUAGAUUCUACCUUAUUUACUCACCCCCUGUUGGUGGUCAUUUAGGUGGUUUCUUUUCUUUUGCUAUUAUAUGUGGUGCUAUAAAGUGGACACCUGCCCACAAACCUCAGCAUAAGUUCUGUUACAUUCCAUGCAAAUCCUUGGUCCUUCUCAAAUUUUGGCAUAACAAAUGAGGUAGGGAUUCAGUUAAGAUGUCGACCACUAUACUCUACAAUGGCCAAAUAUCUUACCCAGCACACAAUAGGUGCUUGUAAAUGUUACCAGUAACGGUGGCAAUGGUGACAACCAACAAUGUCUACUGUAGCACACAGUCCACAGCACUAAGGAGGGCCA
Long non-coding RNA from Lutra lutra (Eurasian river otter), 2499 nucleotides. RefSeq lists it as uncharacterized. Lineage: Eukaryota; Metazoa; Chordata; Mammalia; Carnivora; Mustelidae. The record is from RefSeq and is a predicted model, not a curated record. The transcript has 3 exons.